UUAAGCGACUAAGCGUACACGGUGGAUGCCCUGGCAGUCAGAGGCGAUGAAGGACGUGCUAAUCUGCGAUAAGCGUCGGUGAGGUGAUAUGAACCGUUAUAACCGGCGAUUUCCGAAUGGGGAAACCCAGUGUGUUUCGACACACUAUCAUUAACUGAAUCCAUAGGUUAAUGAGGCGAACCGGGGGAACUGAAACAUCUAAGUACCCCGAGGAAAAGAAAUCAACCGAGAUUCCCCCAGUAGCGGCGAGCGAACGGGGAGGAGCCCAGAGCCUGAAUCAGUGUGUGUGUUAGUGGAAGCGUCUGGAAAGGCGUGCGAUACAGGGUGACAGCCCCGUACACAAAAAUGCACAUAUUGUGAGCUCGAUGAGUAGGGCGGGACACGUGGUAUCCUGUCUGAAUAUGGGGGGACCAUCCUCCAAGGCUAAAUACUCCUGACUGACCGAUAGUGAACCAGUACCGUGAGGGAAAGGCGAAAAGAACCCCGGCGAGGGGAGUGAAAAAGAACCUGAAACCGUGUACGUACAAGCAGUGGGAGCCUCUUAAUGGGGUGACUGCGUACCUUUUGUAUAAUGGGUCAGCGACUUAUAUUCUGUAGCAAGGUUAACCGAAUAGGGGAGCCGAAGGGAAACCGAGUCUUAACUGGGCGUUAAGUUGCAGGGUAUAGACCCGAAACCCGGUGAUCUAGCCAUGGGCAGGUUGAAGGUUGGGUAACACUAACUGGAGGACCGAACCGACUAAUGUUGAAAAAUUAGCGGAUGACUUGUGGCUGGGGGUGAAAGGCCAAUCAAACCGGGAGAUAGCUGGUUCUCCCCGAAAGCUAUUUAGGUAGCGCCUCGUGAAUUCAUCUCCGGGGGUAGAGCACUGUUUCGGCAAGGGGGUCAUCCCGACUUACCAACCCGAUGCAAACUGCGAAUACCGGAGAAUGUUAUCACGGGAGACACACGGCGGGUGCUAACGUCCGUCGUGAAGAGGGAAACAACCCAGACCGCCAGCUAAGGUCCCAAAGUCAUGGUUAAGUGGGAAACGAUGUGGGAAGGCCCAGACAGCCAGGAUGUUGGCUUAGAAGCAGCCAUCAUUUAAAGAAAGCGUAAUAGCUCACUGGUCGAGUCGGCCUGCGCGGAAGAUGUAACGGGGCUAAACCAUGCACCGAAGCUGCGGCAGCGACACUAUGUGUUGUUGGGUAGGGGAGCGUUCUGUAAGCCUGUGAAGGUGGCCUGUGAGGGUUGCUGGAGGUAUCAGAAGUGCGAAUGCUGACAUAAGUAACGAUAAAGCGGGUGAAAUGCCCGCUCGCCGGAAGACCAAGGGUUCCUGUCCAACGUUAAUCGGGGCAGGGUGAGUCGACCCCUAAGGCGAGGCCGAAAGGCGUAGUCGAUGGGAAACAGGUUAAUAUUCCUGUACUUGGUGUUACUGCGAAGGGGGGACGGAGAAGGCUAUGUUGGCCGGGCGACGGUUGUCCCGGUUUAAGCGUGUAGGCUGGUUUUCCAGGCAAAUCCGGAAAACCAAGGCUGAGGCGUGAUGACGAGGCACUACGGUGCUGAAGCGACAAAUGCCCUGCUUCCAGGAAAAGCCUCUAAGCAUCAGGUAACAUCAAAUCGUACCCAAAACCGACACAGGUGGUCAGGUAGAGAAUACCAAGGCGCUUGAGAGAACUCGGGUGAAGGAACUAGGCAAAAUGGUGCCGUAACUUCGGGAGAAGGCACGCUGAUAUGUAGGUGAAGCGACUUGCUCGUGGAGCUGAAAUCAGUCGAAGAUACCAGCUGGCUGCAACUGUUUAUUAAAAACACAGCACUGUGCAAACACGAAAGUGGACGUAUACGGUGUGACGCCUGCCCGGUGCCGGAAGGUUAAUUGAUGGGGUUAGCGGUAACGCGAAGCUCUUGAUCGAAGCCCCGGUAAACGGCGGCCGUAACUAUAACGGUCCUAAGGUAGCGAAAUUCCUUGUCGGGUAAGUUCCGACCUGCACGAAUGGCGUAAUGAUGGCCAGGCUGUCUCCACCCGAGACUCAGUGAAAUUGAACUCGCUGUGAAGAUGCAGUGUACCCGCGGCAAGACGGAAAGACCCCGUGAACCUUUACUAUAGCUUGACACUGAACAUUGAGCCUUGAUGUGUAGGAUAGGUGGGAGGCUUUGAAGUGUGGACGCCAGUCUGCAUGGAGCCGACCUUGAAAUACCACCCUUUAAUGUUUGAUGUUCUAACGUUGGCCCGUAAUCCGGGUUGCGGACAGUGUCUGGUGGGUAGUUUGACUGGGGCGGUCUCCUCCUAAAGAGUAACGGAGGAGCACGAAGGUUGGCUAAUCCUGGUCGGACAUCAGGAGGUUAGUGCAAUGGCAUAAGCCAGCUUGACUGCGAGCGUGACGGCGCGAGCAGGUGCGAAAGCAGGUCAUAGUGAUCCGGUGGUUCUGAAUGGAAGGGCCAUCGCUCAACGGAUAAAAGGUACUCCGGGGAUAACAGGCUGAUACCGCCCAAGAGUUCAUAUCGACGGCGGUGUUUGGCACCUCGAUGUCGGCUCAUCACAUCCUGGGGCUGAAGUAGGUCCCAAGGGUAUGGCUGUUCGCCAUUUAAAGUGGUACGCGAGCUGGGUUUAGAACGUCGUGAGACAGUUCGGUCCCUAUCUGCCGUGGGCGCUGGAGAACUGAGGGGGGCUGCUCCUAGUACGAGAGGACCGGAGUGGACGCAUCACUGGUGUUCGGGUUGUCAUGCCAAUGGCACUGCCCGGUAGCUAAAUGCGGAAGAGAUAAGUGCUGAAAGCAUCUAAGCACGAAACUUGCCCCGAGAUGAGUUCUCCCUGACUCCUUGAGGGUCCUGAAGGAACGUUGAAGACGACGACGUUGAUAGGCCGGGUGUGUAAGCGCAGCGAUGCGUUGAGCUAACCGGUACUAAUGAACCGUGAGGCUUAACCUU
This 2902-nucleotide ribosomal RNA is filed under the name Escherichia coli UMEA 3121-1. RNAcentral describes it as "bacterial LSU rRNA". It matches the Rfam family "Bacterial large subunit ribosomal RNA". RNAcentral also lists the same sequence under 1 other name. The record is from RNAcentral. Lineage: Bacteria; Pseudomonadati; Pseudomonadota; Gammaproteobacteria; Enterobacterales; Enterobacteriaceae.